AUCCAGUUGAAAAGUCCCAAAUAGGACGAAACUCACGUCCUGGAU
Molecule: non-coding RNA, 45 nt
Organism: Schistosoma mattheei
Lineage: Eukaryota; Metazoa; Platyhelminthes; Trematoda; Strigeidida; Schistosomatidae
Source: Rfam